GAUGAACGCUGGCGGCGUGCCUAAUACAUGCAAGUCGAGCGAACAGACGAGGAGCUUGCUCCUCUGACGUUAGCGGCGGACGGGUGAGUAACACGUGGAUAACCUACCUAUAAGACUGGGAUAACUUCGGGAAACCGGAGCUAAUACCGGAUAAUAUAUUGAACCGCAUGGUUUAAUAGUGAAAGACGGUUUUGCUGUCACUUAUAGAUGGAUCCGCGCCGCAUUAGCUAGUUGGUAAGGUAACGGCUUACCAAGGCGACGAUGCGUAGCCGACCUGAGAGGGUGAUCGGCCACACUGGAACUGAGACACGGUCCAGACUCCUACGGGAGGCAGCAGUAGGGAAUCUUCCGCAAUGGGCGAAAGCCUGACGGAGCAACGCCGCGUGAGUGAUGAAGGUCUUCGGAUCGUAAAACUCUGUUAUUAGGGAAGAACAAAUGUGUAAGUAACUAUGCACGUCUUGACGGUACCUAAUCAGAAAGCCACGGCUAACUACGUG
Molecule: ribosomal RNA, 497 nt
Filed under: uncultured bacterium
Lineage: Bacteria
Description: partial 16S ribosomal RNA
Rfam family: Bacterial small subunit ribosomal RNA
Source: RNAcentral